This 263-nucleotide unclassified non-coding RNA is filed under the name uncultured fungus. RNAcentral's name for it is "partial contains 5.8S ribosomal RNA, internal transcribed spacer 2, and large subunit ribosomal RNA". The stretch from base 1 to 52 matches the Rfam family "5.8S ribosomal RNA", at positions 103 to 154 of the family's 154-position model. The record is from RNAcentral. Lineage: Eukaryota; Fungi.
AACGCACAUUGCGCCCUUUGGUAUUCCGAAGGGCAUGCCUGUUCGAGCGUCAUUAUCACCCUUCAAGCCCGGCUUGUUCUUGGGUCCCUGUAUCGUUCCAGAGGACGAUAGGCCCGAAAGGUAAUGGCGGUGUCAAGAUUAGACCCCCCGGUGCAGCGAGCUUUGUUCAAGCAUACACUGAGGUGGGCGUUUUGGCCCGGUCUUAACCAUCUCUAUUUCUUAUGGUUGACCUCGGAUCAGGUAGGAUUACCCGCUGAACUUAA